AUUGAACGCUGGCGGCAGGCUUAACACAUGCAAGUCGAGCGGUAACAGGAGAAGCUUGCUUCUUGCUGACGAGCGGCGGACGGGUGAGUAAUACUUAGGAAUCUGCCCAGUAGUGGGGGAUAGCUCGGGGGAAACUCGAAUUAAUACCGCAUACACCCUACGGGGAAAAGGGGGCGCUUGCGCUCUCGCUAUUGGAUGAGCCUAAGUCGGAUUAGCUAGUUGGUGGGGUAAAGGCCUACCAAGGCGACGAUCUGUAGCUGGUCUGAGAGGAUGAUCAGCCACACCGGGACUGAGACACGGCCCGGACUCCUACGGGAGGCAGCAGUGGGGAAUAUUGGACAAUGGGGGCAACCCUGAUCCAGCCAUGCCGCGUGUGUGAAGAAGGCCUUUUGGUUGUAAAGCACUUUAAGCAGUGAAGAAGACUCUAUGGUUAAUACCCAUAGACGAUGACAUUAGCUGCAGAAUAAGCACCGGCUAACUCUGUGCCAGCAGCCGCGGUAAUACAGAGGGUGCAAGCGUUAAUCGGAAUUACUGGGCGUAAAGCGAGCGUAGGUGGCUUGAUAAGUCAGAUGUGAAAUCCCCGGGCUUAACCUGGGAACUGCAUCUGAUACUGUUAGGCUAGAGUAGGUGAGAGGGAGGUAGAAUUUCAGGUGUAGCGGUGAAAUGCGUAGAGAUCUGAAGGAAUACCGAUGGCGAAGGCAGCCUCCUGGCAUCAUACUGACACUGAGGUUCGAAAGCGUGGGUAGCAAACAGGAUUAGAUACCCUGGUAGUCCACGCCGUAAACGAUGUCUACUAGUCGUUGGGGAACUUGAUUCCUUAGUGACGCAGCUAACGCAAUAAGUAGACCGCCUGGGGAGUACGGCCGCAAGGUUAAAACUCAAAUGAAUUGACGGGGGCCCGCACAAGCGGUGGAGCAUGUGGUUUAAUUCGAUGCAACGCGAAGAACCUUACCUGGUCUUGACAUAUCUAGAAUCCUGCAGAGAUGCGGGAGUGCCUUCGGGAAUUAGAAUACAGGUGCUGCAUGGCUGUCGUCAGCCCGUGUCGUGAGAUGUUGGGUUAAGUCCCGCAACGAGCGCAACCCUUUUCCUUAGUUACCAGCGGUUUGGCCGGGGACUCUAAGGAUACUGCCAGUGACAAACUGGAGGAAGGCGGGGACGACGUCAAGUCAUCAUGGCCCUUACGACCAGGGCUACACACGUGCUACAAUGGUAGGUACAGAGGGCAGCUACACAGCGAUGUGAUGCGAAUCUCAAAAAGCCUAUCGUAGUCCAGAUUGGAGUCUGCAACUCGACUCCAUGAAGUCGGAAUCGCUAGUAAUCGCGGAUCAGAAUGCCGCGGUGAAUACGUUCCCGGGCCU
RNAcentral lists this ribosomal RNA (1358 nucleotides) under uncultured bacterium. Its description in RNAcentral is "bacterial SSU rRNA". It matches the Rfam family "Bacterial small subunit ribosomal RNA", at positions 28 to 1381 of the family's 1533-position model. The record is from RNAcentral.